RNAcentral lists this ribosomal RNA (252 nucleotides) under uncultured bacterium. Its description in RNAcentral is "partial 16S ribosomal RNA". It matches the Rfam family "Bacterial small subunit ribosomal RNA", at positions 525 to 776 of the family's 1533-position model. The record is from RNAcentral.
ACGGAGGGUCCGAGCGUUAAUCGGAAUUACUGGGCGUAAAGCGUGCGCAGGCGGUUUGUUAAGCCAGAUGUGAAAUCCCCGGGCUCAACCUGGGAAUUGCAUUUGGAACUGGCGAACUAGAGUCUUGUAGAGGGGGGUAGAAUUCCAGGUGUAGCGGUGAAAUGCGUAGAUAUCUGGAGGAAUACCGGUGGCGAAGGCGGCCCCCUGGACAAAGACUGACGCUCAUGCACGAAAGCGUGGGGAGCAAACAGG